This 913-nucleotide ribosomal RNA is filed under the name uncultured bacterium. Its description in RNAcentral is "bacterial SSU rRNA". It matches the Rfam family "Bacterial small subunit ribosomal RNA", at positions 28 to 916 of the family's 1533-position model. The record is from RNAcentral.
AACGAACGUUGGCGGCGUGCUUAACACAUGCAAGUCGAACGAGAACGGUUUCUUCGGAGACCUAGUAAAGUGGCGCACGGGUGAGUAACGCGUAAGUAAUCUACCCUGGUAUCUGGAAUAACUACGGGAAGCUGUAGCUAAUACCGGAUACGUUCUCCUUUCUACGGAUUGGAGAAGAAAGAUGGCCUCUUCUUGAAAGCUAUCGUACUAGGAGGAGCUUGCGUACCAUUAGCUAGUUGGUAGGGUAAUGGCCUACCAAGGCAACGAUGGUUAGCGGGUCUGAGAGGAUGAUCCGCCACACUGGAACUGGAACACGGACCAGACUCCUACGGGAGGCAGCAGUGAGGAAUAUUGCGCAAUGGGGGAAACCCUGACGCAGCGACGCCGCGUGGAUGAUGAAGGCCCUUGGGUCGUAAAAUCCUGUCAGGUGGGAAGAAAUGCAUAUGAAUUAAUACUUCUUAUGUUUGACGGUACCACCAAAGGAAGCACCGGCUAACUCCGUGCCAGCAGCCGCGGUAAUACGGAGGGUGCAAACGUUGUUCGGAAUUACUGGGCGUAAAGCGCGCGUAGGCGGUUUGUUAAGUCAGAUGUGAAAGUCCAUGGCUCAACCAUGGAAGUGCAUUUGAAACUGGCAGACUUGAGUACUGGAGGGGGUGGUGGAAUUCCCGGUGUAGAGGUGAAAUUCGUAGAUAUCGGGAGGAAUACCGGUGGCGAAGGCGACCACCUGGCCAGAUACUGACGCUGAGGUGCGAAAGCGUGGGGAGCAAACAGGAUUAGAUACCCUGGUAGUCCACGCCGUAAACGAUGUCAACUAGGUGUUGGGGCGGUUAAUCGUCUCAUUGCCGGAGCUAACGCAUUAAGUUGACCGCCUGGGGAGUACGGUCGCAAGAUUAAAACUCAAAGGAAUUGACGG